UACAGAGGGGGCAAGCGUUGUUCGGAAUUACUGGGCGUAAAGGGCGCGUAGGCGGCCUGCUAAGUCGAACGUGAAAUCCCCGGGCUCAACCCGGGAACUGCGUCCGAUACUGGCAGGCUUGAAUCCGGGAGAGGGAUGUGGAAUUCCAGGGUGUAGCGGUGAAAUGCGUAGAUAUCUGGAGGAACACCGGUGGCGAAGGCGGGUCACUGGGCCGAUACUGACGCUGAUGCACGAAAGCUAGGGGAGCAAACAGG
Molecule: ribosomal RNA, 254 nt
Filed under: uncultured bacterium
Lineage: Bacteria
Description: partial 16S ribosomal RNA
Rfam family: Bacterial small subunit ribosomal RNA
Source: RNAcentral